AUUGAACGCUGGCGGCAGGCUUAACACAUGCAAGUCGAGCGGAGAUGAGGUGCUUGCACCUUAUCUUAGCGGCGGACGGGUGAGUAAUGCUUAGGAAUCUGCCUAUUAGUGGGGGACAACAUUCCGAAAGGAAUGCUAAUACCGCAUACGUCCUACGGGAGAAAGCAGGGGAUCUUCGGACCUUGCGCUAAUAGAUGAGCCUAAGUCGGAAUAGCUAGUUGGUGGGGUAAAGGCCUACCAAGGCGACGAUCUGUAGCGGGUCUGAGAGGAUGAUCCGCCACACUGGGACUGAGACACGGACCAGACUCCUACGGAAGGCAGCAGUGGGGAAUAUUGGACAAUGGGGGGAACCCUGAUCCAGCCAUGCCGCGUGUGUGAAGAAGGCCUUAUGGUUGUAAAGCACUUUAAGCGAGGAGGAGGCUACUGAGACUAAUACUCUUGGAUAGUGGACGUUACUCGCAGAAUAAGCACCGGCUAACUCUGUGCCAGCCGCCGCCGUAA
RNAcentral lists this ribosomal RNA (501 nucleotides) under uncultured bacterium. RNAcentral describes it as "partial 16S ribosomal RNA". It matches the Rfam family "Bacterial small subunit ribosomal RNA", at positions 30 to 523 of the family's 1533-position model. The record is from RNAcentral.